GGAUGAGAAUAAAGAGCUGGUUCGAGUAAAGGUUAAAGAUACUCUUGACACCAAGAAGCUACGAUAUGGCUUUCAAGAUGUUCCUAUUCCUUGGCUGAAAACAAGACCAGUACCAAAAUUAACAAGGCAGGAAAAAUCACGUCGUGCAGCUAAAAAAAGCGUUGUAUUAACGCCAAUUAGUGCAUUCCCUGUUGUCUUGGAUAAAGUCAUAAGUGUGGAGGUUUCCAGGCCAAAGAAAUCAAGAAGCGCGACGGAGAAAGAAGAUGAAGCUGAAGUUCUAGUUAUUGAAGGGAUUGAGUAUGAAGAAAAUCAAUUAAUUAAGUUCGAUGUCCUCGUCAACGAUGAACCUGAUUCACCUGGUGGACCAGACAAGUCCGAGUUUGCAGGAAGUUUCGUCAAUGUGCCUCACAAGCAUGCAAAAAAAUCAAAGACAACUAUGGUAUUGGGGAUUACAGGAUUGUUGGAAGAUCUGGAAGCUGAAGGAGAUGAUACCCUUGUGGUGACUUUAGUGCCUCGGACUGGUGGUGAUUCUGUUACCGUUGCUAAUGUCAAGAUUGAGUUUGUCGCUGACUGAUCAUGGUGAUGAGAGGACAUAUGCUACCAUUUUCUUUUCUUUUCUUCCUUUAGCCUUUUCUUGUUUUUUUCUCUUUCUAUGUUGGUAUUCAGUGAGUUUUCUCUUUUUUCUUUCAAGAUGCUCAACUAAUGGACCGUAUUUCAAUUUGAAUACUACAAUGGUUUCUUAGAUUUGUUGCCAGAAGUAGAUGAACAAAAAUAACUAGACCCAUAUGGUAAAAAAUCAUUGUCAUUUUAGACUUUUUUUAAAAUGAUACAUAAACCAAAAACAAUAUGGUUUUGAAAGAAAGAAAAAACUAAAUUUUAUCAUAAACAAACCCAUAUCAGAUCUCAAAUAAAUGAACUACCAAUGAGAAAUUGGUAGACGUCUCCCUUUUUCACACUUGGGUCAUUGAGGAAAGUGCGUGGUCCAGCCACCCUGCAAUGUCCACUGACGCCGCGCUUAUCGUGGGCGGGUUUGCUUAAUGCGGCGGUGGACGGGGAGUGUUUCGAUUGAAAAAGAGGAGGUUUUUCCUUCUACUUUUAAGAGAAGAGAGAAAAGGCAAAUUUUAUAAAAUUCUCAUUGCAAUGGACAGAUAAAUAGCCAAUUUUCUACACCUCUCGCCUGUACUGCAACAUGACAUACAGUAUAAUUAGUACAAAAACGCAAGGCAGUACUAUAAUU
Molecule: long non-coding RNA, 1237 nt
Filed under: Populus tremula
Lineage: Eukaryota; Viridiplantae; Streptophyta; Magnoliopsida; Malpighiales; Salicaceae
Description: long non-coding RNA (PTRE_LNC000293)
Source: RNAcentral